UACGUAGGGGGCGAGCGUUGUCCGGAUUUAUUGGGCGUAAAACGCUUGUAGGCGGCCACAUCGCGUCGGACGUGAAAUCUCCCGGCUCAACUGGGAGGGGUCGUGCGAUACGGAUGGGCUCGAGGCCGGUAGGGGGACGCGGAAUUCCCGGUGUAGUGGUGGAAUGCGUAGAUAUCGGGAGGAACACCAGUGGCGCAGGCGGCGUCCUGGACCGGCACUGACGCUGAGGAGCGAAAGCGUGGGGAGCGAUCCGGAUUAGAUACCCGGGUAGUCCACGCCGUAAACGGUGCGCACUAGGUGUCGGGGGUAUCGACCCCUCCGGUGCCGCAGCUAACGCAUUAAGUGCGCUGCCUGGGGAGUACGGCCGCAAGGCUAAA
Molecule: ribosomal RNA, 377 nt
Filed under: uncultured bacterium
Lineage: Bacteria
Description: bacterial SSU rRNA
Rfam family: Bacterial small subunit ribosomal RNA
Source: RNAcentral